AGUGAAUAUUAAACGGCCGCGGUACCCUAACCGUGCAAAGGUAGCGUAAUCAUUUGUCUAUUAAUUGUAGACCUGUAUGAAAGGCAAAAUGAGGGUUUGACUGUCUCUUAUAAUCAAUCAAUUAAACUGAUCUUCUGGUAAAAAAGCCAGAAUAUUCACAUAAGACCAGAAGACCCUGUGAAGCUUAAACUAAACUAUUAAACCCUAUAAUAACUACUUUCGGUUGGGGCGACCUUGGAAAAAAAAAGAACUUCCAAAUACAGUGACUAUAAACCACUUUACAUUAGGCCUACAAGCCCACUUUUUAAACAUAGACCCAGCACAGCUGAAAAUUGAACCAAGUUACUCCAGGGAUAACAGCGCUAUCUUCUUUAAGAGCCCAUAUCAAAAAGAAGGUUUACGACCUCGAUGUUGGAUCAGGACAUCCUAA
This 430-nucleotide ribosomal RNA is filed under the name Apostolepis assimilis. Its description in RNAcentral is "partial 16S ribosomal RNA". It matches the Rfam family "Bacterial large subunit ribosomal RNA", at positions 1911 to 2550 of the family's 2925-position model. The record is from RNAcentral. Lineage: Eukaryota; Metazoa; Chordata; Lepidosauria; Squamata; Dipsadidae.